GAGGAUGCGAGCGUUAUCCGGAUUUAUUGGGUUUAAAGGGUGCGUAGGCGGGAUCUCAAGUCAGCGGUCAAAUCGUUGGGCCCAACCCCAUUCCGCCGUUGAAACUGGGAUUCUUGAGAGAUCGAGAGGUAUGCGGAAUGCGUGGUGUAGCGGUGAAAUGCAUAGAUAUCACGCAGAACCCCGAUUGCGAAGGCAGCAUACCGGCGGUCUACUGACGCUGAGGCACGAAAGCGUGGGUAUCGAA
Molecule: ribosomal RNA, 244 nt
Filed under: uncultured bacterium
Lineage: Bacteria
Description: partial 16S ribosomal RNA
Rfam family: Bacterial small subunit ribosomal RNA
Source: RNAcentral